AUGGCACCAAUUACCGAGUGUUUGAAGAAAGGAAAGUUCCAAUGGGCAGAAGCAGCUGAAGCUAGCUUCAAUGAGAUUAAACAAAAGCUAUCACAAGCUCCUGUCUUGGUACUACCUGAUUUCAACAAGACUUUUGAGUUGGAGUGUGAUGCAAGUGGAGUAGGCAUUGGAGCUGUCCUAUCUCAAGAAAGGAAGCCCAUUGCUUUCUUUAGUGAGAAGUUAAGUGAAGCUAGACAGAAAUGGAGUACCUAUCAGCAAGAAUUAUACGCCGUUUUCAGAGCGUUGAAAACUUGGGAAGUCUAUUUGCUGCCUAAAGAGUUCAUUGUUUAUAGCGACCAUCAAUCCUUGAAGCAUUUUAGAAAUCAAAAGCAUGUUGACCGCAUGCUAGCAAGAUGUGCAGCAUAUCUUGAGAGGUUUAACUAUCUCACCGUGCAUAAAUCUGGAAUAACUAACAGAGUGGCCGAUGCUUUGAGUCGUCGUGCAUGCCUCUUGACUUCUUUUGAAGCUGAACUUCCGGGCAUGGGUCAAAUAAAGGAGUUGUAUGAGGGUGACGAAGACUUUGGCCAUGUUUGGGUAAAGCACGCAAGGGGCCAACCAUUAGGUGAUGACUAUUUGAUGCAAGAUGGAUAUCUCUUCAAAAAUGAUCGUUUGUGCAUUCCAAGAAGUUCUCUACGUGACAAGCUGGUUAGAGAACUCCAUUCAAGUGAUCUUAGUGGCCAUGUUGGACGGGACAAGACUAUCACUAACCUGGAAGCUCGCUACUUUUGGCCACAACUAAAGAGAGAUGCUGGAAAGUUCGUUCAACGGUGCCCCGUAUGUCAGACCUGCAAAGGCCAAGUCCAGAACACAGGGUUAUACAUGCCUUUGCCUGUUCCUGUUGCUCCAUGGGAGGACAUUUCUAUGGACUUCGUCUUGGGCUUGCCAAGAACAAGAUGA
Molecule: ribosomal RNA, 936 nt
Filed under: Triticum aestivum (bread wheat)
Lineage: Eukaryota; Viridiplantae; Streptophyta; Magnoliopsida; Poales; Poaceae
Description: partial small subunit ribosomal RNA
Source: RNAcentral